CUGAAUAACUACAGCUGAUCGCACAGUCUUUGUACUGGCGACAAAUCUUUCAAGUGUCUGCCUUAUCAGCUGUCGAUGGUAGUCUACGUGGCUACCAUGGCUGUAACGGGUAACGGAGAAUAAGGGUUCGACUCCGGAGAGGGAGCCUGAGAAACGGCUACCACAUCCAAGGAAGGCAGCAGGCGCGCAAAUUACCCACUCUCGGCAUGAGGAGGUAGUGACGAAAAAUAACGAGGUGGUUCUCUAUGAGGCCCACUAUCGGAAUGGGUACAAUUUAAACCCUUUAACGAGGACCUAUGAGAGGGCAAGUCUGGUGCCAGCAGCCGCGGUAAUUCCAGCUCUCAAGGUGUAUAUCGCCAUUGCUGCGGUUAAAAA
RNAcentral lists this ribosomal RNA (375 nucleotides) under Nematoda sp. Its description in RNAcentral is "SSU rRNA". It matches the Rfam family "Eukaryotic small subunit ribosomal RNA", at positions 252 to 625 of the family's 1831-position model. The record is from RNAcentral. Lineage: Eukaryota; Metazoa; Nematoda.